Non-coding RNA from Harmonia axyridis, 73 nucleotides. The record is from the annotation of a RefSeq genome assembly. Lineage: Eukaryota; Metazoa; Arthropoda; Insecta; Coleoptera; Coccinellidae.
UCCUCGGUAGCUCAGUGGCUAGAGCAACGAACUAGUGAUUCGGAGGUUGCGGGUUCGAGUCCCGCUCGGGGAG